Molecule: ribosomal RNA, 1305 nt
Filed under: uncultured prokaryote
Description: partial 16S ribosomal RNA
Rfam family: Bacterial small subunit ribosomal RNA
Source: RNAcentral
AUGAGGGCUGCCGCUUGGGGGAGAGCCUGCGUCCCAUUAGCUUGUUGGUGAGGUAACGGCUCACCAAGGCUGCGAUGGGUAGCCGAGCUGAGAGGCUGAUCGGCCACACUGGAACUGAGACACGGUCCAGACUCCUACGGGAGGCAGCAGUGGGGAAUUUUGCGCAAUGGGGGAAACCCUGACGCAGCGACGCCGCGUGGGCGAUGAAGGCCUUCGGGUCGUAAAGCCCUGUCGAGCGGGACGAAAGUAUGAGCCCUAAUAUGGUUCAUGCCUGACGGUACCGCUGGAGGAAGCCCCGGCCAACUCCGUGCCAGCAGCCGCGGUAAUACGGAGGGGGCGAGCGUUAUUCGGAAUUAUUGGGCGUAAAGGGCGUGUAGGCGGUUGAUUAAGUCUGGGGUGAAAGCCCCGAGCUCAACUCGGGAACUGCAGGAGAAACUGCGAGGCUUGAGUGCGGGAGAGGGAAGCGGAAUUCCCAGUGUAGCGGUGAAAUGCGUAGAUACUGGGAGGAACACCGGUGGCGAAGGCGGCUUCCUGGCCGAGUACUGACGCUCAUACACGAAAGCGUGGGGAGCGAACGGGAUUAGAUACCCCGGUAGUCCACGCCGUUAAACGAUGGGUACUAGGUGUUGGAGGGGUUCAACCUUCAGUGCCGCAGUUAACGCACUAAGUACCCCGCCUGGGGAGUACGUUCGCAAGAAUGAAACUCAAAGGAAUUGACGGGGGCCCGCACAAGCGGUGGAGCAUGUGGUUUAAUUCGACGCAACGCGAAGAACCUUACCUGGGUUUGAACUGUGGUGGAAAGGGGCUGGGAAACCAGUUCCUCCUUCGGGACCGCCUCAGAGGUGCUGCAUGGCUGUCGUCAGCUCGUGUCGUGAGAUGUUGGGUUAAGUCCCGUAACGAGCGCAACCCUUACCCUUAGUUGCCAGCGGGUCGGCCGGGAACUCUAAGGGGACUGCCGGUGAUAAGCCGGAGGAAGGCGGGGAUGACGUCAAGUCCUCAUGGCCCUUAUGUCCAGGGCUACACACGUGCUACAAUGGUCGGUACAAAGGGUUGCGAGACCGCGAGGUUUAGCCAAUCCCAUAAAGCCGACCUCAGUUCGGAUUGGAGUCUGCAACUCGACUCCAUGAAGGUGGAAUCGCUAGUAAUCGCGGAUCAGCAUGCCGCGGUGAAUACGUUCCCGGGCCUUGUACACACCGCCCGUCACACCACGAAAGUUUGCUGCUCUUGAAGUCGCUGGGCUAACCCCGCAUGGAGGCAGCCGCCCACGCUGUGGUCGAUGAUUGGGGUGAAGUCGUAACAAGGUAA